GGGAAUGGCGCUAUGCUUCAGCGCCAUUUUUUGGGGGAAAAAUUCUAACUACUCCAAUGAACCCAAUGAACUUUACUCUUUGUUCAUCCUAGUUCUCUCUCCUAAAACCUUCGAUCACGUUAACUCUCUCUAAAAAAAAUCAAAAUCCUUCACCCCUCUCACAACCAAAUCCCUUGUUUCUUUCCCUUUCUUUCACCCGAUAUUUAAUUCUCCCCAAUUUGAAGACAAAAAUGUAAAUAUUUGAGAUCUGUCAGGCCCGAAGUGCAAUGGUGGAGCGACGGUGUUGAUUGGAAAUCGCUAACAAGUCUCAGGACUUGUUCUUCUACUUACAACAAUAUCUGAAGGAAGAUUACUACCAGGUUACUAACGCUCUUACACGUGUUGGCCUGGAAUCAUCAAAUCUUAUUGUUGGUAUUGAUUUCACCAAAAGCAAUGAGGGGACAGUUUCAAGUUUGUAGCGGCCAUCAUCUUCGAUUCCAUCUAGCGAGCACUGAUCGUUGAUUCCCUUUCCACUUGGAGCAAAUUAGAGUUGUUGAUAACCAAAAUUAUACAUUAAGUUUCUGCUACUCUUAGGUUACCAAUACAUUAAAGUUCGUGGCAGUUAUUUUCAAUUGGAUAGCACUUCUAUUUAUUGAUUAGUUGGGUUGCUAAUAUUUUGUCCAAGUUCUCUAUCUCAAAUUGAUAUUGGCUACAUUAUUGGACUAAUUUUGAAUUCCGUAGACUAGUAUUCUUUUGUGCCUACCAUCUGUUCGAUAGCUUGUGCCUUACAAUCUAGAAUUGAACUUUUGCUGUCUUUCCUUUUGAUAUCAUUCUGUUUUGAUACUUUUGGAUUAGUUCUUAUUACUCAACAGUCUAGAACACCUGGAUAUGUGAACAUUCUGUUUUGAUAUGCCUAGAACACUUGGAUUAGUUCUUACAUUCUGUUUUGAUACUUUUGAUCGCUUUAUUGUUGUAAUAUUCCAUGAGUGAUUUGUGUCUUCUAUUAAUCUCGUUGAAAUUAGUUUUCUUAUCUAAGUAAAUGUUUCAUGCAAAAAUCAGUAAUAGUUUAGGUAGAAUUAUCUUGUAGAUGCUAACGAAGCUUUUUUUUUUUUAUAAUUAGAAUCUAUGUGAACAUGGAUAAAAGAUGGAUGAGUAUGUCACGAUCAAGUGAUGAGUAUAAAGCUGGUUUAGAAGAUUUACUUGAUUUUGCAUUUACGAAUGGAAGUAUAAGGGAGAUGAUUUUAUGCCCAUGCAUUAGGUGUGGGAAUGGGGUAUUUGUCAGGAGAGAGCAGGCCAAAUCACACUUGAUAUGGAAAGGAUUUAUUAAGGGAUAUGCUCAAUGGUUAGCUCAUGGGUAGGAAUGAUGUGUUUGCAAAAGUAAUGGGGGAAGAAAGGGGUGGAAGAGUUCGUACAUAUGGUUUAGGAGUUACACAAGCUGAUUUGCGGGGUGAUAUACCAUGUCGUUCAAUAUGUUUUUGCUUGGUUAUGGAACAAAGCGCUGUGAUGUCAAAAAUGGAGCGAAGAAUUUAGCAACUAGAAUCAAUUCAACAAGGAAGAUCACAAGGACAAAGUUCACCAUCUCAGCAAAGAUCUACUUCACAGUCUUCAAAUGCUAUUCUUCGGCCGAUAAAGGUGAAUCUUGAAGAAAACUAAAGGAUCCUUGGGUGAUUUGGCUAUUUUUUGAAGACAUUGUCAAGGCAUUUUUUGUUGAACUCUUGUUGAACUAUUGUUUCUUUGAUAUGUAUUGGCAAUGCUACAGCAAUACUCAUAACUGUUGAAAAAUCUCUGAAUUAGCAUGUAAUUUGUUGACAUAGCACUAUGUAAGUUGCUUGGAUGAUGUACUUUUGCACCAGUUUGGCUGAUUGUAUUGCACUGAUUACUAUGAAAACGUAAAUCACUUUAGUUUUCCUU
Molecule: non-coding RNA, 1890 nt
Organism: Coffea arabica (coffee)
Lineage: Eukaryota; Viridiplantae; Streptophyta; Magnoliopsida; Gentianales; Rubiaceae
Source: RefSeq, a predicted model, not a curated record